UGGCUAGGUAACAUAAUGGAAAUGUAUCGGACUGCAAAUCCUGGAAUGACGGUUCGACCCCGUCCUUGGCCUCGAGGAGUGGUGAGCAGCACGGAACUCG
RNAcentral lists this transfer RNA (100 nucleotides) under Helianthus annuus (common sunflower). Its description in RNAcentral is "hypothetical non coding rna". The stretch from base 2 to 72 matches the Rfam family "tRNA". From Rfam's summary of the family: Transfer RNA (tRNA) molecules are approximately 80 nucleotides in length. The record is from RNAcentral. Lineage: Eukaryota; Viridiplantae; Streptophyta; Magnoliopsida; Asterales; Asteraceae.